Molecule: ribosomal RNA, 375 nt
Filed under: uncultured organism
Description: bacterial SSU rRNA
Rfam family: Bacterial small subunit ribosomal RNA
Source: RNAcentral
CGUAGGGGGCGAGCGUUGUCCGGAUUUAUUGGGCGUAAAGAGCUCGUAGGCGGCUCAGUAAGUCAGGUGUGAAAACUCCAGGCUCAACCUGGAGACGCCACCUGAUACUGCUGUGGCUAGAGUCCGGUAGGGGAGCAUGGAAUUCCUGGUGUAGCGGUGAAAUGCGCAGAUAUCAGGAGGAACACCAGUGGCGAAGGCGGUGCUCUGGGCCGGAACUGACGCUGAGGAGCGAAAGCGUGGGGAGCAAACAGGAUUAGAUACCCUGGUAGUCCACGCCGUAAACGUUGGGUACUAGGUGUGGGGCCUUAUCAACGGGGCUCUGUGCCGAAGCUAACGCAUUAAGUACCCCGCCUGGGGAGUACGGCCGCAAGGCUA